UCACAAUUUUUAUCUUUCUUUCUUUUCUUUUUUUUCCGCUUCUCCCUCUUCUCUUUUUCUUCUUCUAUGUACCCUUCUACUUUUUCUUUUUAACUUCUUCUUUCUCUUACUUGGGUGCGUGAGUGCGUGUUUGAACUGGAGGUAACUGGAGAAUGAUCACAAUUUUUAUCUUUCUUUCUUUUCUUUUUUUUUCCGCUUCUCCCUCUUCUCUUUUUCUUCUUCUUUGUACCCUUCUACUUUUUCUUUUUAACUUCUUUCUCUUACUU
RNAcentral lists this long non-coding RNA (266 nucleotides) under Ananas comosus (pineapple). RNAcentral describes it as "long non-coding RNA (ACOM_LNC032542)". Lineage: Eukaryota; Viridiplantae; Streptophyta; Magnoliopsida; Poales; Bromeliaceae. The record is from RNAcentral.